GCCAGGUGUGGUGGCACGCACCUGUUAUCCCAGGUACUUGGGAGGCUAAAGUGGGAGGAUCACUUGAGCCCAGGAGUUCUAGGCUGCAGUGAGCCAUGAUCGUGCCACUGCACUCUACCCUGGGCAAAAAAGUAAGACCCUAUCUCAA
Unclassified non-coding RNA from Pongo abelii (Sumatran orangutan), 148 nucleotides. It matches the Rfam family "Metazoan signal recognition particle RNA". Rfam says of the family: The signal recognition particle (SRP) is a universally conserved ribonucleoprotein. It is involved in the co-translational targeting of proteins to membranes. The record is from Ensembl. NCBI's taxonomy places the organism in Eukaryota, Metazoa, Chordata, Mammalia, Primates, Hominidae.